GAUGAACGCUGGCGGCGUGCCUAAUACAUGCAAGUCGAACGAAACUUCUUUAUCACCGAGUGCUUGCACCCACCGAUAAAGAGUUGAGUGGCGAACGGGUGAGUAACACGUGGGCAACCUGCCCAAAAGAGGGGGAUAACACUUGGAAACAGGUGCUAAUACCGCAUAACCAUAGUUACCGCAUGGUAACUAUGUAAAAGGUGGCUAUACUACCGCCUUUGGAUGGGCCCGCGGCGCAUUAGCUAGUUGGUAGGGUAAAGGCUUACCAAGGCAAUGAUGCGUAGCCGAAUUGAGAGGUUGAUCGGCCACAUUGGGACUGAGACACGGCCCAAACUCCUACGGGAGGCAGCAGUAGGGAAUCUUCCACAAUGGGCGAAAGCCUGAUGGAGCAACGCCGCGUGGGUGAAGAAGGUCUUCGGAUCGUAAAACCCUGUUGUUAGAGAAGAAAGUGCGUGAGAGUAACUGUUCACGUUUCGACGGUAUCUAACCAGAAAGCCACGGCUAACUACGUG
RNAcentral lists this ribosomal RNA (512 nucleotides) under uncultured bacterium. RNAcentral's name for it is "partial 16S ribosomal RNA". It matches the Rfam family "Bacterial small subunit ribosomal RNA", at positions 28 to 507 of the family's 1533-position model. The record is from RNAcentral.